This 468-nucleotide ribosomal RNA is filed under the name uncultured bacterium. Its description in RNAcentral is "partial 16S ribosomal RNA". It matches the Rfam family "Bacterial small subunit ribosomal RNA", at positions 28 to 507 of the family's 1533-position model. The record is from RNAcentral.
GACGAACGCUGGCGGCGUGCUUAACACAUGCAAGUCGAACGGAAAGGCCCUGCUUUUGUGGGGUGCUCGAGUGGCGAACGUGUGAGUAACACGUGAGUAACCUGCCCUUGACUUUGGGAUAACUUCAGGAAACUGGGGCUAAUACCUGAUAGGAGCUCCUGCUGCAUGGUGGGGUUUGGAAAGUUUCGGCGGUUGGGGAUGGACUCGCGGCUUAUCAGCUUGUUGGUGGGGUAGUGGCUUACCAAGGCUUUGACGGGUAGCCGGCCUGAGAGGGUGACCGGCCACAAUGGGACUGAGAUACGGCCCAGACUCCUACGGGAGGCAGCAGUGGGGAAUAUUGCACAAUGGGCGGAAGCCUGAUGCAGCAACGCCGCGUGCGGGAUGACGGCCUUCGGGUUGUAAACCGCUUUAGCCUGUGACGAAGCGUGAGUGACGGUAAUGGGUAAAGAAGCACCGGCUAACUACGUG